GGAUACCCGUACCGUAAACCGACACAGGUGGAUGAGGAGAGAAUCCUAAGGCCGACGGGAGAAGCAUUGUUAAGGAACUCGGCAAAAUGACUCCGUAACUUCGGGAGAAGGAGUGCCAGUAAGAUGGCCGCAGAGAAUUGGCCCAAGCAACUGUUUAGCAAAAACACAGGUCUAUGCAAAACCGAAAGGUGAGGUAUAUGGGCUGACGCCUGCCCGGUGCUGGAAGGUUAAGGGGAGAGGUUAGCGCAAGCGAAGCUUUGAACUUAAGCCCCAGUAAACGGCGGCCGUAACGAUAACGGUCCUAAGGUAGCGAAAUUCCUUGUCGGGUAAGUUCCGACCCGCACGAAAGGCGUAAUGAUUUGGGCACUGUCUCAACAAUGCACCCGGUGAAAUUGAAAUACCAGUGAAGAUGCUGGUUACCUGCGCCAGGACGGAAAGACCCCAUGGAGCUUUACUCCAGCUUGAUACUGGGAUUCGGUAUUGCAUGUACAGGAUAGGUGGGAGGCUAGGAAAUGGUAACGCCAGUUGCCAUGGAGCCAAUGUUGGGAUACCACCCUUGCAGUACUGGGUUUCUAACCAGCAGCCGUGAUCCGGCUGGGGGACAAUGUCAGGUGGGGAGUUUGACUGGGGCGGUCGCCUCCGAAAGGGUAUCGGAGGCGCUCAAAGGUUCCCUCAGAAUGGUUGGAAACCAUUCGAAGAGUGCAAAGGCAGAAGGGAGCUUGACUGCGACACCGACGGGUGGAGCAGGUACGAAAGUAGGACUUAGUGAUCCGGUGGUAUAAAGUGGGAUUGCCAUCGCUCAACGGAUAAAAGCUACCCUGGGAUAACAGGCUUAUCACUCCCAAGAGUUCACAUCGACGGAGUGGUUUGGCACCUCGAUGUCGGCUCAUCGCAUCCUGGGGCUGAAGUAGGUCCCAAGGGUUGGGCUGUUCGCCCAUUAAAGCGGUACGCGAGCUGGGUUCAGAACGUCGUGAGACAGUUCGGUCCCUAUCCGGCGUGGGCGUAAGAUAUUUGAGAGGAGCUGUCCUUAGUACGAGAGGACCGGGAUGGACUGGCCGCUGGUGUAUCUGUUGUCUUACCGAAGGCAUAGCAGAGUAGCCAAGCCGGGAAGGGAUAAACGCUGAAGGCAUCUAAGCGUGAAGCCCCCCUCAAGAUGAGAUAUCUCAUAACGUCAAGUUAGUAAGACCCCUUGAAGACGACGAGGUAGAUAGGACAGAGGUGGAAGUGUGGUAACACAUGGAGCUGACUGUUACUAAUAGGUCGAGGGCAUAACU
This 1274-nucleotide ribosomal RNA is filed under the name metagenome. RNAcentral's name for it is "bacterial LSU rRNA". It matches the Rfam family "Bacterial large subunit ribosomal RNA", at positions 1636 to 2925 of the family's 2925-position model. The record is from RNAcentral.